GACGGGAUGGCAGAGUUGGUUUGCGGCAGAUUGUAAAUUUGUUUAUAGGGGUUCGAGUCCUUUUUUCGUUA
RNAcentral lists this transfer RNA (71 nucleotides) under Iconaster longimanus. RNAcentral's name for it is "tRNA-Tyr". It matches the Rfam family "tRNA". Rfam says of the family: Transfer RNA (tRNA) molecules are approximately 80 nucleotides in length. Their secondary structure includes four short double-helical elements and three loops (D, anti-codon, and T loops). Further hydrogen bonds mediate the characteristic L-shaped molecular structure. tRNAs have two regions of fundamental functional importance: the anti-codon, which is responsible for specific mRNA codon recognition, and the 3' end, to which the tRNAs corresponding amino acid is attached (by aminoacyl-tRNA synthetases). tRNAs cope with the degeneracy of the genetic code in two manners: having more than one tRNA (with a specific anti-codon) for a particular amino acid; and 'wobble' base-pairing, i.e. permitting non-standard base-pairing at the 3rd anti-codon position. The record is from RNAcentral. Lineage: Eukaryota; Metazoa; Echinodermata; Asteroidea; Valvatida; Goniasteridae.